RNAcentral lists this ribosomal RNA (412 nucleotides) under uncultured bacterium. RNAcentral describes it as "bacterial SSU rRNA". It matches the Rfam family "Bacterial small subunit ribosomal RNA", at positions 32 to 424 of the family's 1533-position model. The record is from RNAcentral.
AAUCAACGCUGACGGCGUGCCUCAGACAUGCAAGUCGAACGCGAAAGUUCCCUUCGGGGGAUAAGUAGAGUGGCGUCCGGGUGAGUAACACGUAGGUAAUCUACCUUUGGGUGGGGAAUAACAACCGGAAACGGUUGCUAAUACCGCAUAAUGCAGCGGCACCACAUGGUGACAGUUGUUAAAGCGGGGGAUCGCAAGACCUCGCGCCUAAAGAGGAGCCUGCGGCGGAUUAGCUAGUUGGAGGGUAACGGCCUACCCAAGGCAACGAUCCGUAGCCGGCCUGAGAGGGCGGACGGACACACUGGGACUGAGACACGGCCCAGACUCCUACGGGAGGCAGCAGUGGGGAAUUGUUCGCAAUGGGCGCAAGCCUGACGACGCAACGCCGCGUGGAGGAUGAAGACCUUCGGUC